UCUCCCGUGAGGGAGCAGUCUCGCCUGGCCAUAUAGGCAACAGACAACGGGGGUUGCGUUCGUUACCCCACUGAAGGGAACAGUUCAAACCACGAACUGACGACGACCAUGCAUCACCUGUCCAGCACCCUCGAAGGCUUCUCUCCUUUCAGAAAGAAUGCAGCUGGAUUUCUAACCUUGGUAAGGUUCUUCGUUUAUCAUCGAAUUGAGCCGCAUAAUCCACCGCUUGUGCGAGUCCCCGUCUAUUCCUUUGAGUUUUAAUCUUGCGAUCGUACUACCCAGGCGGCUCGCUUACCGCGUUAGCUUAGUCUCACAGAGGGUCGAUACUCCGUAAAACGAGCGAGCAACGUUGAGGGCCAGGACUAC
RNAcentral lists this unclassified non-coding RNA (366 nucleotides) under uncultured bacterium. Its description in RNAcentral is "contains 16S-23S intergenic spacer region". The record is from RNAcentral.